Carya illinoinensis is the source of this 533-nucleotide long non-coding RNA. RefSeq lists it as uncharacterized. Lineage: Eukaryota; Viridiplantae; Streptophyta; Magnoliopsida; Fagales; Juglandaceae. The transcript is spliced from 3 exons. The record is from RefSeq and is a predicted model, not a curated record.
GUCCUUAGUGGGGCUUCCCGUGCACUCUAUGGUUUGUCAUUUUGUCCAAAUCAGAUUAUGUCAAAUGAUCAAAAUGUCAUGCUUCUCUAAUACUCAAAAAUCGUAUACGGCGCGCACCAGCCCAUUUUUUAUUUGUUUUGCCACUACUCAGCUCUUCUUUACUGUGCCGUUCGAAAUCUGACGUCGCUCUUCCACCAUCGGCAUCGUGAUCAGCUCCUAUCACCACCGGCGUUGUGAUGAAAUCAAGUCUGUUUAUGCGAGAAACUUGCCACCUUCUGUAUCUAUUUUUGAAGUGGAGGAGGAAUUCAAGAAUUUUGGUAAACUCAGUGAUGAGGGUGUGGUCAUACGAAGUCACAAGGAUGUAUGUGUUCCACUCUCAUCCCUUGCAGAAUUAAUAUCAAGGUCCAAACAAGAGCUCAACACAUCACCACUGGUCUAGUAUGUCUAAUCAGAAUGACUAUUCUUUUGUGGACAUAAAGAUUGAGCUGAAGUCGUUUGCACCCAAUGAUUGCUUAUAAAACAGAGGUAACGAU